This 73-nucleotide transfer RNA is filed under the name Sphaerodactylus townsendi. RNAcentral's name for it is "tRNA-Ala". The record is from RNAcentral. Lineage: Eukaryota; Metazoa; Chordata; Lepidosauria; Squamata; Sphaerodactylidae.
GGGGGAUUAGCUCAGAUGGUAGAGUGCUGGCUAAGCAUGCGAGAGGUAGCGGGAUCAAUGCCCGCAUCUUCCA